GAUGAACGCUGGCGGCGUGCCUAAUACAUGCAAGUCGAGCGAACAGACGAGGAGUUUGCUCCUCUGACGUUAGCGGCGGACGGGUGAGUAACACGUGGAUAACCUACCUAUAAGACUGGGAUAACUUCGGGAAACCGGAGCUAAUACGGGAUAAUAUAUUGAACCGCAUGGUUCAAUAGUGAAAGACGGUUUUGCUGUCACUUAUAGAUGGAUCCGUGCCGCAUUAGCUAGUUGGUAAGGUAACGGCUUACCAAGGCACCGAUGCGUAUCCGACCUGAGAGGGUGAUCGGCCACACUGGAACUGAGACACGGUCCAGACUCCUACGAGAGGCAGCAGUAGGGAAGCGUCCGCAAUGGGCGAAAGCCUUACGGAGCAACGCCGCGUGAGUUAUGAAGGUCUUCGGAGCGUAAAACUCUGUUAUUAGGGAAGAACAAAUGUGUAAGUAACUAUGCACGUCUUGACGGUACCUAAUCAGAAAGCCACGGCUAACUACGUG
This 497-nucleotide ribosomal RNA is filed under the name uncultured bacterium. RNAcentral describes it as "partial 16S ribosomal RNA". It matches the Rfam family "Bacterial small subunit ribosomal RNA", at positions 28 to 507 of the family's 1533-position model. The record is from RNAcentral.